Long non-coding RNA from Oryzias melastigma (Indian medaka), 709 nucleotides. RefSeq lists it as uncharacterized. The record is from RefSeq and is a predicted model, not a curated record. NCBI's taxonomy places the organism in Eukaryota, Metazoa, Chordata, Actinopteri, Beloniformes, Adrianichthyidae. The transcript has 4 exons.
UCUCAGGUGUAGCUGAUGGAAAAGAUGGAAGGAGAACUUUGAGGAACUCAGCGGUCCAGAGGUGCAGCGGCGUGUUCAGGAAGGGGGAGGAGUUUCAGGUGUGACCAGAGGACAGGUGAAGAAGACUGUGGCUGAAAUGAGACUUUCUGUGACGUUGUCAGUGAGAAAUCCUCCAGAAUGGAUCUUUAACUGUUGAAGAUGUUUCAGGAAGGAACUCUUGAGACGUCGUCUAAGAGGACAAACAAACACAAACAAACACAAACUGAGAGCGUCUUCAGGUGGGAUCCAUCAGGAGGUCGUCGUUCAGGAACCCGGGAAUGGACGGGUACGGCUCCUCCUCCGCAUCGGUCUCCAUGGUAACGCCCUUGGAGGGUUUGUCUUCAGACUCCUUCACAUUCUUGGUAAGCGGAGUCGUCUUCUUCCCCUGCAGCCAGUAGGUCACCAUGUCUCCUUUGCCCUGCAGGAACCCGGACAGGAGUUACCGGUCGUCCGUCUGCGGCGGCGCUGGACGGACGCCGCGGCUUACCUUGACCUGCAGAACUCCUCUACACUCCAGGACGUAGCCUCCGAUCUCCUCCAGCAGAACCUCCCUGUGACGUCAGACAGGAUUACCCAGGCUGGUGGACUCCAUCCGGGACGCCGUGUUCACCGUGUCUCCAAACAGGCAGUAGCGCGGCAUCUUGGUCCCCACCACCCCGGCCACCACCGG